GGGCCCGCACAAGCGGUGGAGCAUGUGGUUUAAUUCGAUGCAACGCGAAGAACCUUACCUACUCUUGACAUCCAGAGAACUUUCCAGAGAUGGAUUGGUGCCUUCGGGAACUCUGAGACAGGUGCUGCAUGGCUGUCGUCAGCUCGUGUUGUGAAAUGUUGGGUUAAGUCCCGCAACGAGCGCAACCCUUAUCCUUGUUUGCCAGCGAGUAAUGUCGGGAACUCCAGGGAGACUGCCGGUGAUAAACCGGAGGAAGGUGGGGACGACGUCAAGUCAUCAUGGCCCUUACGAGUAGGGCUACACACGUGCUACAAUGGCGCAUACAGAGGGCAGCCAACUCGCGAGAGUGAGCGAAUCCCAAAAAGUGCGUCGUAGUCCGGAUUGGAGUCUGCAACUCGACUCCAUGAAGUCGGAAUCGCUAGUAA
This 425-nucleotide ribosomal RNA is filed under the name uncultured bacterium. Its description in RNAcentral is "bacterial SSU rRNA". It matches the Rfam family "Bacterial small subunit ribosomal RNA", at positions 917 to 1341 of the family's 1533-position model. The record is from RNAcentral.